UGAAAGGAAAAACGGAAAGUAACUAUCUUAAACCAGUUAUUAAAAAUUACUUAGUAAGUGAAAAGUCUUAUAUAUAGAAAAAAGACGAGAAGACCCUAGAAAUUUUUAUAUAGUGUAUUAUAAUCUAUUAUUCUAUUUUGUUGGGGCGACAUAGUAACAGUUAACUUACUAUACACUAUAUGCUAUUUAUUAGUCGUAAGAAUAAAUUACUCUAGGGAUAACAGCAUAAUUCUAAUGAGUUUGUGACCUCGAUGUUGGACUA
This 262-nucleotide ribosomal RNA is filed under the name Raeticella biconica. RNAcentral's name for it is "Trochulus biconicus partial 16S ribosomal RNA". The record is from RNAcentral. Lineage: Eukaryota; Metazoa; Mollusca; Gastropoda; Stylommatophora; Hygromiidae.